UUUUGAUGUAAAGUUUUGUACCUGAGUAGUAUUAGUAUUAUGAUCUUGAAACUUAAAGAAUUUGGCGGUAUUUUAGUCUUCUUAGAGGAAUCUGUCCCAUAAUCGAUAUUCCACGUUGAAUACUUACUUAAUCUGAUGUUUAUAUACCGCUGUUUUGUAGAGUGUCUUUUUAGGGUAGUAAAAUUUCUUUUUUUUUAUUUGAAUUUAUUUCAGGUCAAGGUUUAAUUUAUGAUUAAGAGGAGAUGGAUUACAAUGCGUAUAGGGCAUAAUGGAAUUUAAGUUGUAAUAUUUAAAUGAAGGUGGAUUUAAUAGUAAUUUGAUUUAGAAUGUUGAGGUGAUUUUAGCUCUAGAAUAUGU
This 357-nucleotide ribosomal RNA is filed under the name Therea petiveriana. Its description in RNAcentral is "partial 12S ribosomal RNA". The record is from RNAcentral. Lineage: Eukaryota; Metazoa; Arthropoda; Insecta; Blattodea; Corydiidae.